This is a non-coding RNA of Firmicutes bacterium CAG:129_59_24, 158 nucleotides long. NCBI's taxonomy places the organism in Bacteria, Bacillati, Bacillota. The record is from Rfam.
UACAUCGUCCGGUAGGUAAGGCUACCACAAGGAUACGGACUGCUGCCGCGGAGUAGUGGAGACACUAUGAGAGGGUUUGAACAGGUUGCAUCGAAAGCAAGGUGCCAUCUAAUGCAGUUUCACCGCCUCGUGAUGCUAAAGCUUGAACGGUAAAGAAA